This 72-nucleotide transfer RNA is filed under the name Crocinitomicaceae bacterium. RNAcentral's name for it is "tRNA-Cys". It matches the Rfam family "tRNA". Rfam says of the family: Transfer RNA (tRNA) molecules are approximately 80 nucleotides in length. Lineage: Bacteria; Pseudomonadati; Bacteroidota; Flavobacteriia; Flavobacteriales; Crocinitomicaceae. The record is from RNAcentral. RNAcentral also lists the same sequence under 2 other names.
GGUGCUGUGGCCGAGUGGCUGAGGCACAGCUCUGCAAAAGCUGGUACACCGGUUCGAUUCCGGUCAGCACCU